This is a long non-coding RNA of Homo sapiens (human), 413 nucleotides long. Lineage: Eukaryota; Metazoa; Chordata; Mammalia; Primates; Hominidae. The record is from Ensembl.
GGCACAACAUCGUGAAUGUACUUAAUGCCACUGAACUAUACACUUAACAUAGUUAAAAUGAUUAACUUCAUGCUAUGUAUAUUUUACCAGAGUUAAAAAAAAUUUUUUUUCUUCAUCUAUUGAAAUUUUCUUCAUGUAUUUGAUAAAAGUAUCUAAAGAAAUAGCCACCUUUUAAAUUAAGCUUUCCAUAGUAGCAAAAUCAGGGGAAGUGUAGAUACAGCACUCAGUUUGAUUCAGCACAAGUCCCCAACAUGAUCAAAAUGAUGUAAAGCUGCAUGAGGCUGGUCUCGAACUCCUGACCUCAAGUGAUCUGCCCACCUCAGCUUCCAAAAGUGCUGGGAUUGCAGGCGUGAGCCACUGCACCCAGCCCAAUUUCAGUUUCAAAAUGCCAUUUGUCCUUUUGACCUUUCCAG